AACGAACGCUGGCGGCAUGCCUAACACAUGCAAGUCGAACGAGACCUUCGGGUCUAGUGGCGCACGGGUGCGUAACGCGUGGGAACCUGCCCUUAGGUUCGGAAUAACUCCCCGAAAGGGGUGCUAAUACCGGAUAAUGUCUUCGGACCAAAGAUUAAUCGCCUAUGGAUGGGCCCGCGUUGGAUUAGCUAGUUGUUAGGGUAAAAGCCUACCAAGGCGACGAGGGAUAGCUGGUCUGAGAGGAUGAUCAGCCACACUGGGACUGAGACACGGCCCAGACCCCUACGGGAGGCAGCAGCGGGGAAGAGGGUACAAGGGGCGGGGGCAUGAGGCAGAAAAGCAGUGUGCGGGACGACGACCUUCGCGUUGGAAACAUAUUUUACCAGGGAAGAAGCGAAAGUGACGGUACCGGCAGAAAAAGCACCGGCUAACUACGUG
Molecule: ribosomal RNA, 438 nt
Filed under: uncultured bacterium
Lineage: Bacteria
Description: partial 16S ribosomal RNA
Rfam family: Bacterial small subunit ribosomal RNA
Source: RNAcentral